AAUGCCCUUUUCCUGAAGGACCUGUAUGGUAAGCAAAAUUUAAAAAAGCAGGUUAAAUUGUUGUGUUCUUGUAUCUACACCUCCAAGGGUCGUUUUAGAAACCUCAUGCAUAUGAGAUGAAUUCGUUUGGCAUGCCAAAGUAUUUGAAAGCAGAGAUCUGAAUGGACAUUUUUCGUUGAAAAAAAAAUAAAAUAAAACAUGCAGAUAUCAAACUGCGCAAUCCGACAAGGCUACAAGUCCUACACAUGAUAUUAAAUGAUCCAGACCUGAUAUUCUAAAGCAAUAUGGGAACUAAGACUCAUUAUAUAUAAACGCUUGAAUGUGUAUCAUACAAAAACCUAGAAAUAAU
This 349-nucleotide unclassified non-coding RNA is filed under the name Hevea brasiliensis (rubber tree). Lineage: Eukaryota; Viridiplantae; Streptophyta; Magnoliopsida; Malpighiales; Euphorbiaceae. The record is from RNAcentral.